This 323-nucleotide ribosomal RNA is filed under the name Pseudomonas mosselii. Its description in RNAcentral is "bacterial SSU rRNA". It matches the Rfam family "Bacterial small subunit ribosomal RNA", at positions 431 to 746 of the family's 1533-position model. Lineage: Bacteria; Pseudomonadati; Pseudomonadota; Gammaproteobacteria; Pseudomonadales; Pseudomonadaceae. The record is from RNAcentral.
CACUUUAAGUUGGGAGGAAGGGCAGUAAGUUAAUACCUUGCUGUUUUGACGUUACCGACAGAAUAAGCACCGGCUAACUCUGUGCCAGCAGCCGCGGUAAUACAGAGGGUGCAAGCGUUAAUCGGAAUUACUGGGCGUAAAGCGCGCGUAGGUGGUUCGUUAAGUUGGAUGUGAAAGCCCCGGGCUCAACCUGGGAACUGCAUCCAAAACUGGCGAGCUAGAGUAUGGUAGAGGGUGGUGGAAUUUCCUGUGUAGCGGUGAAAUGCGUAGAUAUAGGAAGGAACACCAGUGGCGAAGGCGACCACCUGGACUGAUACUGACAC